Long non-coding RNA from Agrilus planipennis (emerald ash borer), 554 nucleotides. RefSeq lists it as uncharacterized. The transcript is spliced from 3 exons. The record is from RefSeq and is a predicted model, not a curated record. Lineage: Eukaryota; Metazoa; Arthropoda; Insecta; Coleoptera; Buprestidae.
UAUAAUUUGAGUUGCAAUAUAUACAGGGAUAAUAAUUUUAAUUUGAAGUUGCAGUUGCCUGUCGUUACCUUUUCCAUCGUCUUACUAGUAGAGACUGGAACUACCUUGAUAGAAAAAGGAUACUCUGAUUCCACAUCUGCCUGCAUGUUGCAGUUGCCUGUCGUUACCCUUUCCACCGUCUUAUUAUCCUGGUAGAGACUAGAACUAUCUUAAAAGAAAAAGGAUACUCUGAUUCCACAUCUGCAUGCAUGCAGAAAUAAAGCCGAAAAGUAUCUAACUGACCCCACUCAUGAAAUCCGUUGGCAUUAAAAUUCUGCGUAGUUCUUCAUUAUCGUCUCUUCUCAAAGCUGGGUAAAUAGUUUUAGAAGAUUUUGAAACUUUGCUUUAGUGAAUAGUUCAAAUGUUUAUUGCUGUAAAUUGAUAUAUUUAAUAUUAAAACGUAAGAUUUUCAAUUAAGGCUGUGUUUGUAUUUUAAUAAAACUUUUGUCCCUCGUUUUUAGUAGAUCUAUUAAUGUAUAUCGAAGUACCUUAUAAUAUUAAAUAUAAAAUCCCUA